GACAGAGGGUGCAAGCGUUGUUCGGAAUUAUUGGGCGUAAAGGGCGCGUAGGUGGCCGUAUAAGUCGGAUGUGAAAGCCCAGGGCUUAACCCUGGAAGUGCAUCCGAUACUGCAUGGCUUGAGUCCCGGAGAGGGUCGUGGAAUUCCCAGUGUAGAGGUGAAAUUCGUAGAUAUUGGGAGGAACACCAGUGGCGAAGGCGACGACCUGGACGAUGACUGACACUGAGGCGCGAAAGCGUGGGGAGCAAACAGG
Molecule: ribosomal RNA, 253 nt
Filed under: uncultured bacterium
Lineage: Bacteria
Description: partial 16S ribosomal RNA
Rfam family: Bacterial small subunit ribosomal RNA
Source: RNAcentral